Molecule: long non-coding RNA, 908 nt
Organism: Felis catus (domestic cat)
Lineage: Eukaryota; Metazoa; Chordata; Mammalia; Carnivora; Felidae
Exons: 3
Source: RefSeq, a predicted model, not a curated record
CAGGCAAUUUAAUUUUCAUUACAGAAAAACAAUGAAUAGGCAGGAACAAUGUAACGUGCUCAAGGAUAUCAAAAUAAAUAUUUGUCUGAAGCCACUUGGCAGCCUAUUCAAGUAUGUUUCAACCUGUCACACAAACAGACAGAAAGGGUAACAGUGAUAUGUUAUGUACUUUUCAUGUUUCUUGACUAAUGAAUGAGAAGCAAUCAUUCCAUCAACCCUGUACUAUGACAAGGCUUCUUAGUAGCUAUAAAUAGCAGCUCUAUAAUCACUUCUAAUUGCUACCUUUUCUUCCCUUUGGCACCCGAUGCCAUUAGGAACAGUCAGGUUGGGUUUUUUCAAAGAUUGCUUUCAAAAAACUGGGGGAAAAAUACAUAAGUCUUCUCUUUCACUUCCCCUUCUGUAUACAGUUCUUAACUUCACAGGAAGCUGUAGGCACAGCAAUCAGUAUCCAGAGAGACAUACUGAAAUCUAAUCAUGGCUUCAUAUCUUCCAGACGGUCCUGAAUGAUUCAUUGGCCAAGCAACACAUGGCACAGAUGGCUGCGAACAUAACACUGCACAAUGCCUCAAGAGUGUGGUGUAAUGGGCCAGGGACACAGUCUCACUAUUGUUUUCCAUGUAGAGGCUUCACGCCCAGCGCGGAACCCAACGUGGUGCUAGAACUCACGACCCUGAGAUCAAGACCUGAGUUGAGAUCACGAGUGGGACGCUUAUCCGACUGAGCCACCCAGACCCUGCAGGUGUUUGCCAAUGGUUGAACCCAACAGAGAACCAGAGGACGAGAAAGUCCACUGCUGCAGUCCAGACAAGUCAACCUCGAGGGACACAGAACAGGGUGCUUUGAGCAGGACAGAAAGUGGAUCUGAUCCUAAGCCCCACACCAGUGGAGAUCCUGCUGCUACAGGUAGA